Molecule: ribosomal RNA, 367 nt
Filed under: uncultured Pelotomaculum sp.
Lineage: Bacteria; Bacillati; Bacillota; Clostridia; Eubacteriales; Desulfotomaculaceae
Description: bacterial SSU rRNA
Rfam family: Bacterial small subunit ribosomal RNA
Source: RNAcentral
CACCUCGGGUGACAGGGAGACAGGUGGUGCAUGGUUGUCGUCAGCUCGUGUCGUGAGAUGUUGGGUUAAGUCCCGCAACGAGCGCAACCCCUACGUUUAGUUGCUAACAGGUGAAGCUGAGCACUCUAGACGAACUGCCGUUGACAAAACGGAGGAAGGUGGGAUGACGUCAAAUCAUCAUGCCCCUUAUGUUCUGGGCUACACACGUGCUACAAUGGCCGGUACAGACGGAGGCGAAGCCGCGAGGCGGAGCAAAUCCGAAAAAGCCGGUCUCAGUUCGGAUUGCAGGCUGCAAUUCGCCUGCAUGAAGUCGGAAUCGCUAGUAAUCGCAGGUCAGCAUACUGCGGUGAAUACGUUCCCGGGCCUU